UAACGCUGGCGGCAUGCCUAAUACAUGCAAGUCGAUCGGGCGUAGCAAUACGCUAGAGGCGAACGGGUGAGUAACACGUAUCCAAUCUACCCCAAAGUGGGGGACAACUAGUCGAAAGAUUAGCUAAUACCGCAUAAUAAAUGCACUAUCGCAUGAGAAGCAUUUUAAAGGUCCGUUUGGACCGCUAUGGGAUGAGGGUGCGGCAUAUCAGCUAGUUGGUGAGGUAACGGCCCACCAAGGCGAUGACGUGUAGUUAUGCUGAGAGGUAGAAUAACCACAAUGGGACUGAGACACGGCCCAUACUCCUACGGGAGGCAGCAGUAGGGAAUUUUUCACAAUGGACGAAAGUCUGAUGGAGCAAUGCCGCGUGAACGAUGAAGGUCUUAAUGGAUUGUAAAGUUCUUUUAUUUGGGAAGAAUUGCCAAUAGAGGAAAUGCUAUUGGUUUGACGGUACCAUUUGAAUAAGUAACGACUAACUAUGUGCCAGCAGUCGCGGUAAUACAUAGGUUGCAAGCGUUAUCCGGAUUUAUUGGGCGUAAAGCAAGCGCAGGCGGAUUAGAAAGUCUGGUGUUAAAAACAACUGCUUAACGGUUGUAUGCAUUGGAAACUUCUAGUCUAGAGUGUGGUAGAGAGUUCUGGAACUCCAUGUGGAGCGGUGGAAUGCGUAGAUAUAUGGAAGAACACCAGUUGCGAAGGCGAGAACUUAGGCCAUUACUGACGCUUAGGCUUGAAAGUGUGGGGAGCAAAUAGGAUUAGAUACCCUAGUAGUCCACACCGUAAACGAUGGAUGUUAGGUGUCGGGGCGAUCACCUCGGUGCCGCAGCUAACGCAUUAAACAUCCCGCCUGGGUAGUACAUUCGCAAGAAUGAAACUCAAACGGAAUUGACGGGGACCCGCACAAGUGGUGGAGCAUGUUGCUUAAUUCGACGGUACACGAAAAACCUUACCUAGAUUUGACAUCCUUGGCAAAGCUAUAGAAAUAUAGUGGAGGUUAACCGAGUGACAGGUGGUGCAUGGUUGUCGUCAGCUCGUGUCGUGAGAUGUUGGGUUAAGUCCCGCAACGAGCGCAACCCUUUUCGUUAGUUACUUUGUCUAGCGAUACUGCCAACGCAAGUUGGAGGAAGGUGGGGACGACGUCAAAUCAUCAUGCCCCUUAUGUCUAGGGCUGCAAACGUGCUACAAUGGCCAUUACAAACAGUUGCAAAUCCGCAAGGUGGAGCUAAUCUGCAAAGAUGGUCUCAGUUCGGAUUGAGGGCUGCAAUUCGCCCUCAUGAAGUCGGAAUCACUAGUAAUCGCGAAUCAGCCAUGUCGCGGUGAAUACGUUCUCGGGUCUUGUACACACCGCCCGUCAAACUAUGAGAGCUGGUAAUAUCUAAAACCGUGUUGCUAACCGUAAGGAAGCGCAUGUCUAGGGUAGGACUGGUGAUUGGAGUUAAGUCGUAACAAGGUACCCCUACGAGAACGUGGGGGUGGAUCACCUCCUUUCUACGGAGUAUAAACAAGUUUUAUACACCAUUUUAUUAGGUGUUAAUAUAUUAAAAUCCAAAUUAAACAUUCAACCCAUCGCAAAGCAAUUUGAUGUAAAUGUUUUUUUGGUCAUGAUUUUAUCCAGUUUUGAGAGAAGUUAUCUCUCCUAUUGUUUUUCUUUAAGUAAAGUUAAAUAAUAGAGAUGGUUCUUUGAAAACUGAAUACAACAAAUCUUUCUAGUUCUAGUAUGGUAAUGUAAAAAAUUACUGUAUUAAUAUCAAAAUGCUAAUGGAUAUCAAAAAUAAGUUACUAAGGGCUUAUGGUGGAUGCCUUGGCACUGACAGGCGAUGAAGGACGUGCGAACCUGCGAAAAGUUACGGGAAGUCGGUUAGAGACGCUAAUCCGUAAAUAUCCGAAUGGGGGAACCCAGAAUAUUGAGAAAUAUUCUAUUUAACUUUGAAUUCAUAGAGGUUAAAAGCGACACGUUGCGAAGUGAAACAUCUCAGUAGCAACAGGAAAAGAAAACGAAAGUGAUUCCGUGUGUAGUGGCGAGCGAAAGCGGAAUAGGCCAAACCAGAAGCAAUUCUGGGGUUGUAGGACUACAAUAUAUGGACUUUAGAUUGAUAGGAGAAAUGGUUGGGAAGCCAUGCAAAAUAGGGUGAUAGCCCCGUAUCCGAAAUUAAUUUAAUACCUAAGUAGAAUCCUGAGUACGUCGGAAAAUGUUAUUUUGACGGAAUCUGCCCAAACCAUUGGGUAAGCCUAAAUACUAGUCAGUGACCGAUAGUGAACAAGUA
Molecule: ribosomal RNA, 2261 nt
Filed under: Mycoplasmoides alvi
Lineage: Bacteria; Bacillati; Mycoplasmatota; Mycoplasmoidales; Mycoplasmoidaceae
Description: bacterial LSU rRNA
Rfam family: Bacterial small subunit ribosomal RNA (bases 1-1485)
Source: RNAcentral